UACGUAGGUGGCAAGCGUUGUUCGGAAUUAUUGGUCGUAAAGGGCGCGUAGGCGGCUUGUUAAGUCGGUUGUGAAAGCCCGGGGCUCACCCCCGGAAGUGCAUUGGAAACUGGGAGGCUAGAGUACCGGAGAGGAAGAUGGAAUUCCUGGUGUAGCGGUGAAAUGCGUAGAUAUCAGGAGGAACACCGGUGGCGAAGGCGGCCUUCUGGACGGAUACUGACGCUGAGACGCGAAAGCGUGGGGAGCAAACAGG
Molecule: ribosomal RNA, 253 nt
Filed under: uncultured bacterium
Lineage: Bacteria
Description: partial 16S ribosomal RNA
Rfam family: Bacterial small subunit ribosomal RNA
Source: RNAcentral